This 584-nucleotide ribosomal RNA is filed under the name uncultured bacterium. Its description in RNAcentral is "partial 16S ribosomal RNA". It matches the Rfam family "Bacterial small subunit ribosomal RNA", at positions 355 to 937 of the family's 1533-position model. The record is from RNAcentral.
UGGGGAAUUUUGGACAAUGGGGGAAACCCUGAUCCAGCCAUCCCGCGUGUGCGAUGAAGGCCUUCGGGUUGUAAAGCACUUUUGGCAGGAAAGAAACGUCGCGGGUUAAUACCCCGCGGAACUGACGGUACCUGCAGAAUAAGCACCGGCUAACUACGUGCCAGCAGCCGCGGUAAUACGUAGGGUGCAAGCGUUAAUCGGAAUUACUGGGCGUAAAGCGUGCGCAGGCGGUUCGGAAAGAAAGAUGUGAAAUCCCAGAGCUUAACUUUGGAACUGCAUUUUUAACUACCGGGCUAGAGUGUGUCAGAGGGAGGUGGAAUUCCGCGUGUAGCAGUGAAAUGCGUAGAUAUGCGGAGGAACACCGAUGGCGAAGGCAGCCUCCUGGGAUAACACUGACGCUCAUGCACGAAAGCGUGGGGAGCAAACAGGAUUAGAUACCCUGGUAGUCCACGCCCUAAACGAUGUCAACUAGCUGUUGGGGUCUUCGGACCUUGGUAGCGCAGCUAACGCGUGAAGUUGACCGCCUGGGGAGUACGGUCGCAAGAUUAAAACUCAAAGGAAUUGACGGGGUCAUAGCUGUUUCC